AGUUAAAUUUUUCAUCUAUUUCUAUGAUUAAAAACUGGUGUGAUUGAUGGAAUAAUCAGAUAGUUAUACAUGACAUGUCACGUGUACCUCAUGUUAGUAUACAACAACCAGUUUUUAAUUGUAGAAAUGGAUGAUAUUUUUAACA
Non-coding RNA from Gossypium raimondii (Peruvian cotton), 145 nucleotides. NCBI's taxonomy places the organism in Eukaryota, Viridiplantae, Streptophyta, Magnoliopsida, Malvales, Malvaceae. The record is from Rfam.